CCUGACGGUAGUCGUAUGCUCGUCUCCGAGACUAAGCCAUGCAAGUCCAAGUACACGUCCUUGAACGACGGAACUGCGAACGGCUCAUUAAAUCAGUUGCGAUCUACUCGGCGUUCCGCGCCGCCGGAUAACCGUAGUAAUUCGUAGGGCUAAUACGUGCGAAGCGCCGAAGCCGCGAGGCGACGGCGUUCUCGCCGGAUGUAGGAACCGACCCGGGGACCGCCGGGGCAACCCGGCGCCCCCGAGACGGGGCGAACCACGGUGAAAUGACGGAUCGUCGGCCCCGCGCCGGCGACUCGCCGAAUGAGUUUCUGACCUAUCAACUCGAGACGGCGGGGUAGAGGCCCGCCGCGGUAACGACGGGUAACGGGGAAUCAGGGUUCGAUUCCGGAGAGGGAGCCCGAGAAACGGCUACCACUUCCAAGGAAGGCAGCAGGCGC
This 440-nucleotide ribosomal RNA is filed under the name uncultured eukaryote. Its description in RNAcentral is "bacterial SSU rRNA". It matches the Rfam family "Eukaryotic small subunit ribosomal RNA", at positions 13 to 435 of the family's 1831-position model. The record is from RNAcentral.